RNAcentral lists this ribosomal RNA (578 nucleotides) under uncultured Bacteroidales bacterium. RNAcentral describes it as "bacterial SSU rRNA". It matches the Rfam family "Bacterial small subunit ribosomal RNA", at positions 96 to 672 of the family's 1533-position model. Lineage: Bacteria; Pseudomonadati; Bacteroidota; Bacteroidia; Bacteroidales. The record is from RNAcentral.
CGGCGCACGGGUGAGUAACACGUAUCCAACCUGCCGUCUACUCUUGGACAGCCUUCUGAAAGGAAGAUUAAUACAAGAUGGCAUCAUGAGUCCGCAUGUUCACAUGAUUAAAGGUAUUCCGGUAGACGAUGGGGAUGCGUUCCAUUAGAUAGUAGGCGGGGUAACGGCCCACCUAGUCUUCGAUGGAUAGGGGUUCUGAGAGGAAGGUCCCCCACAUUGGAACUGAGACACGGUCCAAACUCCUACGGGAGGCAGCAGUGAGGAAUAUUGGUCAAUGGGCGAGAGCCUGAACCAGCCAAGUAGCGUGAAGGAUGACUGCCCUAUGGGUUGUAAACUUCUUUUAUAAAGGAAUAAAGUCGGGUAUGGAUACCCGUUUGCAUGUACUUUAUGAAUAAGGAUCGGCUAACUCCGUGCCAGCAGCCGCGGUAAUACGGAGGAUCCGAGCGUUAUCCGGAUUUAUUGGGUUUAAAGGGAGCGUAGAUGGAUGUUUAAGUCAGUUGUGAAAGUUUGCGGCUCAACCGUAAAAUUGCAGUUGAUACUGGAUAUCUUGAGUGCAGUUGAGGCAGGCGGAAUUCGUG